ACGCUGGCGGCAGGCCUAACACAUGCAAGUCGAGCGGUAGAGAGAAGCUUGCUUCUCUUGAGAGCGGCGGACGGGUGAGUAAUGCCUAGGAAUCUGCCUGGUAGUGGGGGAUAACGUUCGGAAACGGACGCUAAUACCGCAUACGUCCUACGGGAGAAAGCAGGGGACCUUCGGGCCUUGCGCUAUCAGAUGAGCCUAGGUCGGAUUAGCUAGUUGGUGAGGUAAUGGCUCACCAAGGCGACGAUCCGUAACUGGUCUGAGAGGAUGAUCAGUCACACUGGAACUGAGACACGGUCCAGACUCCUACGGGAGGCAGCAGUGGGGAAUAUUGGACAAUGGGCGAAAGCCUGAUCCAGCCAUGCCGCGUGUGUGAAGAAGGUCUUCGGAUUGUAAAGCACUUUAAGUUGGGAGGAAGGGUUGUAGAUUAAUACUCUGCAAUUUUGACGUUACCGACAGAAUAAGCACCGGCUAACUCUGUGCCAGCAGCCGCGGUAAUACAGAGGGUGCAAGCGUUAAUCGGAAUUACUGGGCGUAAAGCGCGCGUAAGUGUGUUUGGUAAGUUGGAAGUG
This 569-nucleotide ribosomal RNA is filed under the name uncultured bacterium. Its description in RNAcentral is "bacterial SSU rRNA". It matches the Rfam family "Bacterial small subunit ribosomal RNA", at positions 33 to 596 of the family's 1533-position model. The record is from RNAcentral.